AGAGUUUGAUCUGGGUCAGAUUGAACGCGGCGGCAGGCCUAACACAUGCAAGUCGAACGGUAACAGGAAGAAGCUUGCUUCUUUGCUGACGAGUGGCGGACGGGUGAGUAAUGUCUGGGAAACUGCCUGAUGGAGGGGGAUAACUACUGGAAACGGUAGCUAAUACCGCAUAACGUCGCAAGACCAAAGAGGGGGACCUUCGGGCCUCUUGCCAUCGGAUGUGCCAAGAUGGGAUUAGCUUGUUGGUGGGGUAACGGCUUACCAAGGCGACGAUCCCUAGCUGGUCUGAGAGGAUGACCAGCCACACUGGAACUGAGACACGGUCCAGACUCCUACGGGAGGCAGCAGUGGGGAAUAUUGCACAAUGGGCGCAAGCCUGAUGCAGCCAUGCCGCGUGUAUGAAGAAGGCCUUCGGGUUGUAAAGUACUUUCAGCGGGGAGGAAGGGAGUAAAGUUAAUACCUUUGCUCAUUGACGUUACCCGCAGAAGAAGCACCGGCUAACUCCGUGCCAGCAGCCGCGGUAAUACGGAGGGUGCAAGCGUUAAUCGGAAUUACUGGGCGUAAAGCGCACGCAGGCGGUUUGUUAAGUCAGAUGUGAAAUCCCCGGGCUCAACCUGGGAACUGCAUCUGAUACUGGCAAGCUUGAGUCUCGUAGAGGGGGGUAGAAUUCCAGGUGUAGCGGUGAAAUGCGUAGAGAUCUGGAGGAAUACCGGUGGCGAAGGCGGCCCCCUGGACGAAGACUGACGCUCAGGUGCGAAAGCGUGGGGAGCAAACAGGAUUAGAUACCCUGGUAGUCCACGCCGUAAACGAUGUCGACUUGGAGGUUGUGCCCUUGAGGCGUGGCUUCCGGAGCUAACGCGUUAAGUCGACCGCCUGGGGAGUACGGCCGCAAGGUUAAAACUCAAAUGAAUUGACGGGGGCCCGCACAAGCGGUGGAGCAUGUGGUUUAAUUCGAUGCAACGCGAAGAACCUUACCUGGUCUUGACAUCCACGGAAGUUUUCAGAGAUGAGAAUGUGCCUUCGGGAACCGUGAGACAGGUGCUGCAUGGCUGUCGUCAGCUCGUGUUGUGAAAUGUUGGGUUAAGUCCCGCAACGAGCGCAACCCUUAUCCUUUGUUGCCAGCGGUCCGGCCGGGAACUCAAAGGAGACUGCCAGUGAUAAACUGGAGGAAGGUGGGGAUGACGUCAAGUCAUCAUGGCCCUUACGACCAGGGCUACACACGUGCUACAAUGGCGCAUACAAAGAGAAGCGACCUCGCGAGAGCAAGCGGACCUCAUAAAGUGCGUCGUAGUCCGGAUUGGAGUCUGCAACUCGACUCCAUGAAGUCGGAAUCGCUAGUAAUCGUGGAUCAGAAUGCCACGGUGAAUACGUUCCCGGGCCUUGUACACACCGCCCGUCACACCAUGGGAGUGGGUUGCAAAAGAAGUAGGUAGCUUAACCUUCGGGAGGGCGCUUACCACUUUGUGAUUCAUGACUGGGGUGAAGUC
RNAcentral lists this ribosomal RNA (1487 nucleotides) under uncultured bacterium. RNAcentral's name for it is "bacterial SSU rRNA". It matches the Rfam family "Bacterial small subunit ribosomal RNA". The record is from RNAcentral.